This 280-nucleotide long non-coding RNA is filed under the name Bos taurus (domestic cattle). Its description in RNAcentral is "long non-coding RNA NONBTAT009057". The record is from RNAcentral. Lineage: Eukaryota; Metazoa; Chordata; Mammalia; Artiodactyla; Bovidae.
AUCGCUCUACAUGGGGAAGGCUAUCCAUGGUGCUCAGUAAAUAGGUAAUACUAAGGCUCAUGGGCAGUCACUAGUCUGCAGUCAUAGCUUAUAUAAUGUGGCUUACCACUAAAAAACAACUUUUUUCCUUUACAGGAAGGAAGUAUGGCAAGAAGCUAAUGGAUUUAAGUCGUAAUGUGGAACUAUUUUUGAUCACUGCGUGGUUCAAGAUUCUUUUAAAACUCAUUUGUUAAAAAAGCAAAGAUAUUUUAUCAAAGUGACAGAAUCUCUGAGAAGUCUG